UAAGCACGUAUAGACAGGGGAAUUGCUAGAGACUUGAGAAAACUUGAUUUCAGUCGGUGAAAAAGGAGAAUUUGUAAUAAUACGAAACGCAAUGGUCUCUACUCAAAACUGAUAAAUUCAUGAAUAAGAAGAAGCCUCACCGGUGUGUUUCGUUGCUACGGGAAAAUGAACGAGGAAAAGGUCGAGGUAAUCAAGUUGAAGUUUCUUGAGACUGUCUUUGCACGCCUCAAUAACAUGGCCAUGAUCUGAAUUCCAUAGCUACAAAACCAAGACAGAUUCAGAACUCAUAGCUUUGUCACUUAUAAUUAUUCGAACUGAAACAAAAAUUGAGAUCAUAGCUAUAUAGUAUUCGUUUGGACCUUGGUCGUAAUGAAGAGAUCCUCCCUCUUAACCAGACCAGUCUUGAAUGCUUCUGUAAGAGCCUCACCAACUUCGGCCUCGUUCCUAUAAUCAGCUGCACCAAGUAACCCCAAAACAUACUCAUAAAUCAAGACACAGAACAAAGCAACUCAAAUGAAAAAACAAAAAUAAAAAUGAACUAAAAAGCUAUCAUAGACAAUGAGUCAUCUACACAGCAAAAGACUUUAGAUCAUUCUAUGAUUCCAAAUACCUACAAGUGCAGAAUCAGAUGCAAAUAAAGAUCUACAGAGAGCAAGUUGUACAGACUAGAAAACUCAAAUCUUGGACAUAUUUUGCAAGAAAGAUUCCAGCUUUCAACAAACCCACAAUUCUAUUCACAUAUCCAUACGAACCGCAAUCGACAAAGACGAGAAAGAAAAGGUUUUGAGAGAACACAAGUUAUACCAGCACAGUCGAGAUGGCGAUAGCCGAUCUUGAUGGCAUUGAUGAUAAGGUCUCGAAUCCCUUCCUUCUCCAUUCUCCACACUCCUAAGCCGACGAUCGGCAUCUUGAAACCACUGUUCAGUGUUAUCUCCAUUUCUUCUUCUCGCUUCUCUUCCUCAAUCCCUGAUUGGGUAAAUAUCUGCUCAGAUUGAGAGUUUCUCAGUGUGUGUUUUUGGUAACGCACACGUUAGAUAAAGGGGCCAUGAUUCCUAGCAAUUAUUUUAGGCCCAAUGGGCCAGAACCAUUUAUUUAUUAGGCCCAAUACCGUUGAUGUGAGACAAACAAGAAGAAACGUUCGUUUAUCACUUAUCAGAGGUCCCCAAGUUUGCAUCUUUUUUUUCCUCUGAUAAUCUCUCAAGGCGAGUUUUCAAUUUUGUAAAGUUCUAAGCUUUGGUAUUGUUUGUAUUGAUCUCACUCUUAAUUCGAUAAUAGUAGAAUUUGUGAUCGGAAUCUCUUUUUUUUUUUUCUGGGGAUUUUCGGUGAGUUGUAUUGGAAAAGGUGUGAUUUUGAAACUUGUAGAUGGUUCUGCUGCUGAGAUUCGAAAAUUUGAGGUCUUAGGUUUUUGAUAGAAGGUUUAGUUAUCUCUGUUACUCUUCUCUUCUUAAGCUUCAUUUAUUCAUAUAGAUAGUGAGAGAGAGUGAGAGUGUGUGUGUGUGUGAUCAAGCGUAGAGCUCAAUUCCCCAAAACUUGGCUGUUUGGUGCGUGCGGUAUUUCCUGUCCAUGCUCUUGAUCACUUCCAUGUCCUCUUUUGAUAGUUCGAAGUCGAAAACUUGAAAAUUCUCUUCCAAUCUUGCAGGCUUUGAUGUCUUUGGUAUCACCACUGUGUUUCUCUGAAUUCCCCACCUCAGGACAACCUGUGCCACUGUCUUUUUGUACUUCUCCGCCACAUCCUAAGAAUUCAGACAAACACACUCCUUUUUAGCUAUCAAAGGUUCAAUCUUUUAACUCCAAACUUGUAAGGUUUAGAGAGGAUGUGGCUUACUUUGAGAACUGGGUCAUCCAGGCAUGACACAGAGCCAAACCAUUCGGCAUUGGCUGUGGCACCUCCGAGGGGAGUAUGAGCGGUGACACAGAUACCGUGUUUCUGGCAGAACUUGACAAGAGAAUCGCGUUGGAAGUAAGGGUGUGUCUCUAUCUGAUUCACUGCAGGCUUGAUCUUGGAGUAAGCCAAGCAAUCUCUCGUUAGAAAGACAUCACAGUUACUGUAAUGGUCAAAUAAAUUAGAAAUCAGCGACUAAACAAAGAGCUUGUUAAGAUAUUGAGAGAUGCUGAACCUGAGUCCAAUGCUGCGGACCAAGCCCAUGGAAACAAGCUUUUCCAUGUCGUGCCAUGUAGUUUCCAGAGAGAUUGUUGUAUCUAGGUCCAAUACCCCAUCAUCGCCCAAAGCACUAUCGGUUGUUCCUACUCCUGCAACAUGUAUAGAGACGGGAAGGGCUUACAUGUUACAGCUUAUUAUUCGAUAUGUGUACCAAUUGAUAGAGACUUGAGAAAGCUUAAUGUCAGUCAGCUGUAAAAAAGUAAUAAAAUGAAAUGUCAUGGUCUCUACUCGAAACUGAUAUUUCAGCCUAACCCGUGUGUUUCGUAGCUACGGGUAAAUGAACGAGGAAAAGGUCGAGGUAAUCAAGUUGAAGUUUCUUGAGACUGUCUUUGCACGCCUCAAUAACAUGGCCAUGGUCUGAACUCCAUAGCUGCAAAACCAAGCAGAUUCAGUACUCAGAGCUUUCUCACUU
RNAcentral lists this long non-coding RNA (2573 nucleotides) under Arabidopsis lyrata. RNAcentral describes it as "long non-coding RNA (ALYR_LNC001858)". Lineage: Eukaryota; Viridiplantae; Streptophyta; Magnoliopsida; Brassicales; Brassicaceae. The record is from RNAcentral.